This 253-nucleotide ribosomal RNA is filed under the name uncultured bacterium. RNAcentral describes it as "partial 16S ribosomal RNA". It matches the Rfam family "Bacterial small subunit ribosomal RNA", at positions 524 to 776 of the family's 1533-position model. The record is from RNAcentral.
UACAGAGGUCUCAAGCGUUGUUCGGAUUCAUUGGGCGUAAAGGGUGCGUAGGCGGCUUCGCAAGUCGGAUGUGAAAUCCCAUGGCUCAACCAUGGACGUGCAUUCGAAACUGCGAAGCUUGAGUAUGGAAGAGGGUCGCGGAAUUCCCGGUGUAGAGGUGAAAUUCGUAGAUAUCGGGAGGAACACCAGUGGCGAAGGCGGCGACCUGGGCCAAUACUGACGCUGAGGUGCGAAAGCGUGGGGAGCAAACAGG